AUGCGCAAUGGUAAAGAGGCAAAGAGAUUGAGAAGAGAUGAUGUUCCUGAAAUGGGUUCAGAUGUGGAAUUUGUUUGUGAUGGAAAGGGUAAAGACCAUAACUAUAAUCCAGUUUGUGAAAAUGUGUCUCGAGCUUUGUGCACACAGUUAAAUGUGGAGUUUGAGAAAUCACAUGUACCAGUCUCUGCGCGUGUUGGUUUGUUAGGUGUACCGUGCAAAAAUGAGAGCAUAGUGGCUGACGGUAACUGUUUCUUUCGUGCCAUCUCUCAAUCUGUGAGUGGAAAACAAACUGAUCAUAGAAAAAUAAGACUAGCUGUUGUCAAGCAUCUAGAAAAUAAUGCUGUCAAGUAUGAAAACAUUUUGAGAAGUGAGUAUUGUUCAAUGGCAGAUUACAUUAGCAAAUCAAAAAUGCGUUAUGUGCACAGCUGGGCUACAGAGAUGGAAAUACAAGCCACUGCUGAUUAUUUAGGAAUCAAUGUUUUCACAUUUCAUGAUGGUCGUUGGCUUAAAUACAGUUGCAACAGUGAGCUAUUGUCACAACACGGCAUUUAUUUAGAAAAUCGCUGUGGAAAUCACUAUGAGACUGUGGUUUGUGUUCAUGAGCCAGAACUGCAGAGUUGUUAUGGCAAUUGUGAAAUUGGUACACAUAAAGUCAAAGGGUACAGUACUAGAUGUCACCUUGAAGAACAGUUGGUUCAGCAUCAGAGUGAAGUAAAAAGCAUAGCGAAUGAUGCAUGUUGUGCAGCUGCAAAACAAUUAGCUACUGAUGUAGAAAUUGUGGAUAAUUUUGUCGUUGAACUUGUAGAGGAUUUUGAUGUUGUGGAUGAUGCAAGUAAAAGCACAUUCCAAUUUAGCCCUCUAUCGAAUGUAGUUGCACAGACAUUAUGCAGUGAAUUCAAUUUGGAAUUUGAAAGACAGAUUGAAAAAGUGCACAAAAAAUAUGGGUCUUUAGGUAGAGUGUGUAAGACCAAUAAAAUCGUAGAGGAUGGUAAUAGCUUUUUUAGAGCAGUAUCUAUAUAUCUUGUAGUAUGUGGCUCAGAAAAGUAA
Molecule: long non-coding RNA, 1047 nt
Filed under: Scophthalmus maximus (turbot)
Lineage: Eukaryota; Metazoa; Chordata; Actinopteri; Pleuronectiformes; Scophthalmidae
Description: lncRNA (ENSSMAG00000037941.1)
Source: RNAcentral